UGGUGGGUUGCCUUGUCAGGUUGAUUCCGGUAACGAACGAGACCUCAGCCUGCUAAAUAGUCACGUCCACCUUGGUGGAUGCCUGACUUCUUAGAGGGACUAUUGGCGUUUAGCCAAUGGAAGUGUGAGGCGAUAACA
This 138-nucleotide ribosomal RNA is filed under the name uncultured eukaryote. RNAcentral's name for it is "partial 18S ribosomal RNA". It matches the Rfam family "Eukaryotic small subunit ribosomal RNA", at positions 1299 to 1458 of the family's 1831-position model. The record is from RNAcentral.